RNAcentral lists this ribosomal RNA (481 nucleotides) under uncultured bacterium. RNAcentral describes it as "bacterial SSU rRNA". It matches the Rfam family "Bacterial small subunit ribosomal RNA", at positions 28 to 526 of the family's 1533-position model. The record is from RNAcentral.
GAUGAACGCUGGCGGCGUGCUUAACACAUGCAAGUCGAACGGUGAAGCUCAGCUUGCUGGGUGGAUCAGUGGCGAACGGGUGAGUAACACGUGAGCAACCUGCCCCUGACUCUGGGAUAAGCGCUGGAAACGGUGUCUAAUACUGGAUAUGUACCACGAUCGCAUGGUCUGUGGUUGGAAAGAUUUUUCGGUUGGGGAUGGGCUCGCGGCCUAUCAGCUUGUUGGUGAGGUAAUGGCUCACCAAGGCGUCGACGGGUAGCCGGCCUGAGAGGGUGACCGGCCACACUGGGACUGAGACACGGCCCAGACUCCUACGGGAGGCAGCAGUGGGGAAUAUUGCACAAUGGGCGCAAGCCUGAUGCAGCAACGCCGCGUGAGGGAUGACGGCCUUCGGGUUGUAAAGCUCUUUCAGCUGGGAAGAUAAUGACGGUACCAGCAGAAGAAGCCCCGGCUAACUCCGUGCCAGCCGCCGCCGUAACAC